CUCAGAACUGCAACAGCCAGGUGCAGUGAGAGCAACCUUGAAGCUGCUUGCAGUUCAGGCAAGCCUAUCUCUGGGACCCAUGCCACUCACACAGUUUACCUUACUUUGCAUCUUCUCUAUCUCUGCCUAUGGGAGACUGUACAGCAGCAGAUCCUGAUCCUGAUCCCUUUCCAGACAUUUUUGGUGUGCCUGCAGGACAUGGGAGCCUUGACUUGAAGGUGUCCAGCAGAAGACUCUAUUGCCCUGCUUACUCUGAUAAGGGCAGAGGUGAAGGAAAAGAGGGGGCAGAGUCUUUCAUCCUAACAUAAAAAAAACUGUUUGCACUGACUGUGAGAAUCUCUACUGUCUUAAUCAAGACUGAAGUUCAACUUCUGCAGGGUCAACAUUAGAAAUAUUUUCUGGUAAUUCUGAUAAUUCCAUCUGAAUGUCAGAUGAAUGCAUAGGGGUUUCACCUAUCCAGCAGCAUGGUUUUCUGCUCCAUUGUAUAAUUGCUUUAAAAAUGGGAUUAAAUAGAAAAACAACAAUUAGGUUCUUUUUUACAUUCCUUUUUAUUUAAAAGCUUUGGAUUCUUAUUUCAAACUUUCCUGAACAGAAGUAGCAGGUGAAAUUGAUACUUUGCAAAUGAAAAUAAGAUUCCCAAAUACUCAUGUGAUUUUAGAUGCCAAAACUUAGGAAAAUGAAGGAAAUAACAUCCCAAGAUGCUUCAUAAAACUGUGAAAGUUGGAAGUAGAGAGGCUAGAAAGUUUUAACUGUGAACAUUCUUUGGCAGCAAAAGAUAUAGGAGUUUUUCUCUGUAGAGAAUGCAACUUUGAAAUGAGACUGGAAGGACUACAUUUCAAUUUAAUGUUGAGAUUACUGUUUAAAAUGAAUUGUGUACUCUUUAUAAAGACAUUCUGUUAAAAUUGUCAAACUGUUCCAGUGUUUCAGCUCCAAAUCACCUGAGUUGUCAAAAUUUUCUGCAAAAAUGUAAAAAAAUACAAAAGUAAAAGAAGUUGAAAAAAAAAAGUAUUUUCCAGCAGUGUCAAAUAGAUUAUUACAGUUUAAGGUACAGGUUCAGAAACAAUAAGAACGGGCCAUGAAUGAUUCAGCCAUAAAAUUUGUUAAUGUGUCAUCCAAAAGUCCCUCCAUAUACUCUUGUUUUGAAAGGUCAAGUUUUGCUAAAAACAAGAGUGCUCCAGAUAAGAUGGUCCCUGGAGGUCUAGUCUACUUUCAAAAACUGAGCUGCACAAAAUAGGUAGAUAGUAGGCAGAAGGAAGAAAAACUAGUUUGCUCAUCACCUGCAGAGGGGCAACAAGACCUGCUGGAGUG
Molecule: long non-coding RNA, 1308 nt
Filed under: Anas platyrhynchos platyrhynchos (common mallard)
Lineage: Eukaryota; Metazoa; Chordata; Aves; Anseriformes; Anatidae
Description: lncRNA (ENSAPLG00000025160.1)
Source: RNAcentral